AGAGUUUGAUUAUGGCUCAGAUUGAACGCUGGCGGAAUGCUUUACACAUGCAAGUCGAACGGCAGCACGGGAGCUUGCUCCUGGUGGCGAGUGGCGAACGGGUGAGUAAUGCGUCGGAACGUACCGAGUAAUGGGGGAUAACGCAGCGAAAGCUGUGCUAAUACCGCAUACGCCCUGAGGGGGAAAGUGGGGGAUCGCAAGACCUCACGUUAUUCGAGCGGCCGACGUCUGAUUAGCUAGUUGGUGGGGUAAAGGCUCACCAAGGCGACGAUCAGUAGCGGGUCUGAGAGGAUGAUCCGUCACACUGGAACUGAGACACGGUCCAGACUCCUACGGGAGGCAGCAGUGGGGGAUUUUGGACAAUGGGGGCAACCCUGAUCCAGCCAUUCCGCGUGAGUGAAGAAGGCCUUCGGGUUGUAAAGCUCUUUCAGCCGGAACGAAACGGUACGCACUAAUAUUGUGUGCUAAUGACGGUACCGGCAGAAGAAGCACCGGCUAACUACGUGCCAGCAGCCGCGGUAAUACGUAGGGUGCGAGCGUUAAUCGGAAUUACUGGGCGUAAAGCGUGCGCAGGCGGAUUGUUAAGCAAGAUGUGAAAUCCCCGGGCUUAACCUGGGAAUGGCAUUUUGAACUGGCAGUCUAGAGUGUGUCAGAGGGGGGUGGAAUUCCACGUGUAGCAGUGAAAUGCGUAGAUAUGUGGAGGAACACCAAUGGCGAAGGCAGCCCCCUGGGGUAACACUGACGCUCAUGUACGAAAGCGUGGGUAGCAAACAGGAUUAGAUACCCUGGUAGUCCACGCCCUAAACGAUGUCAACUGGUUGUUGGGGGAGUGAAAUCCCUUAGUAACGAAGCUAACGCGUGAAGUUGACCGCCUGGGGAGUACGGUCGCAAGAUUAAAACUCAAA
This 905-nucleotide ribosomal RNA is filed under the name uncultured bacterium. RNAcentral's name for it is "bacterial SSU rRNA". It matches the Rfam family "Bacterial small subunit ribosomal RNA", at positions 8 to 905 of the family's 1533-position model. The record is from RNAcentral.